GUUGGAAUCGCUAGUAAUCGCGGAUCAGCAUGCCGCGGUGAAUACGUUCCCGAGCCUUGUACACACCGCCCGUCACACCAUGAGAGUCGGGAACACCCGAAGUCCGUAGUCUAACUUUCACGAGAGGACGCGGCCGAAGGUGGGUUCGAUAAUUGGGGUGAAGUCGUAACAAGGUAAC
RNAcentral lists this ribosomal RNA (178 nucleotides) under uncultured bacterium. Its description in RNAcentral is "partial 16S ribosomal RNA". It matches the Rfam family "Bacterial small subunit ribosomal RNA", at positions 1325 to 1500 of the family's 1533-position model. The record is from RNAcentral.